CCAUUGGAAACGAUGAUUAAUACCGCAUAUAUCCUACGGGGGAAAGCAGGGGACCUUCGGGCCUUGCGCUAUUCGAUGAGCCUGAGUGAGAUUAGCUAGUUGGUGGGGUAAAGGCCUACCAAGGCGACGAUCUCUAGCUGGUCUGAGAGGAUGAUCAGCCACACUGGGACUGAGACACGGCCCAGACUCCUACGGGAGGCAGCAGUGGGGAAUAUUGCACAAUGGACGAAAGUCUGAUGCAGCCAUGCCGCGUGUGUGAAGAAGGCCUUCGGGUUGUAAAGCACUUUCAGCGAGGAGGAAAGGUCAGUAAGUAAUAUUUGCUGGCUGUGACGUUACUCGCAGAAGAAGCACCGGCUAAUUUAGUGCCAGCAGCCGCGGUAAUACUAAAGGUGCAAGCGUUAAUCGGAAUUACUGGGCGUAAAGCGCGCGUAGGUGGUUUGUUAAGUUGGAUGUGAAAGCCCAGGGCUCAACCUUGGAACUGCAUUCAAAACUGACUCACUAGAGUACGAGAGAGGUUAGUGGAAUUUCCUGUGUAGCGGUGAAAUGCGUAGAGAUGGGAAGGAACACCAGUGGCGAAGCGACUGACUGGCUCGAUACUGA
RNAcentral lists this ribosomal RNA (600 nucleotides) under uncultured bacterium. RNAcentral's name for it is "bacterial SSU rRNA". It matches the Rfam family "Bacterial small subunit ribosomal RNA", at positions 147 to 743 of the family's 1533-position model. The record is from RNAcentral.